Molecule: long non-coding RNA, 227 nt
Filed under: Drosophila guanche
Lineage: Eukaryota; Metazoa; Arthropoda; Insecta; Diptera; Drosophilidae
Source: RNAcentral
CUUUUGGUGUGAAGUCCUGUCCUGCGGAGCUCCUGCGACACCUCAGUCGCCUUCCUGCUGUGCAUAAUGGCCUUAUGGUAGCUGUCAUACCGUUUAUUCCAUUCGAAUCUUUGUCAAUCCAAUCCAAUCGACUCGAGUCACACUUCACGGCUGCUGGACAGGGCACAAAAUGCACACACACUGAGAGGACAACACAACAAUGAACAAAGUGCCCCGUCUUGAUUGAC